RNAcentral lists this ribosomal RNA (429 nucleotides) under uncultured prokaryote. Its description in RNAcentral is "bacterial SSU rRNA". It matches the Rfam family "Bacterial small subunit ribosomal RNA", at positions 355 to 796 of the family's 1533-position model. The record is from RNAcentral.
UGGGGAAUCUUGCUCAAUGGGCGAAAGCCUGAAGCAGCGACGCCGCGUGUGGGAAGAAGGCCUUCGGGUUGUAAACCACUUUCGGGAGGGAAGAAGCGAAAGUGACGGUACCUCCAAAAGAAGCCCCGGCCAACUACGUGCCAGCAGCCGCGGUAAUACGUAGGGGGCGAGCGUUGUCCGGAAUUAUUGGGCGUAAAGAGCUCGUAGGCGGCCCGUUAAGUCGGAUGUGAAAUCUCACGGCUCAACCGUGAAACUGCAUUCGAUACUGGCGGGCUUGAGGCAGGUAGGGGAAGGUGGAAUUCCUGGUGUAGCGGUGAAAUGCGCAGAUAUCAGGAGGAACACCGGUGGCGAAGGCGGCCUUCUGGGCCUGUUCUGACGCUGAGGAGCGAAAGCGUGGGGAGCAAACAGGAUUAGAUACCCGCGUAGUCC